Molecule: RNA transcript, 681 nt
Organism: Neltuma alba
Lineage: Eukaryota; Viridiplantae; Streptophyta; Magnoliopsida; Fabales; Fabaceae
Gene name: protein NUCLEAR FUSION DEFECTIVE 6, chloroplastic/mitochondrial-like
Exons: 4
Source: RefSeq, a predicted model, not a curated record
AGCCCUAAACCCUUCUUUCCUGCAGCUCUUCAACUGGAAGUCGAGUCUUCCGUUUUUCACCCACACCGUCCCCUCGGCGAUGGCUUCAGGCUGCAGCAGAAUUGCGCAAAGGACAUUUCUUGCAUCCGCUAAAUCUGCCAUUAAAUCCAAUCUUCGUACUCCUUCAUCCAAAUCAGCCGCCACUCCGGCUAGUCCUAUCAAAUCAACCACUUCUACUUUUCGCAAAUCCUCCUUGACCAGCAGGAUUGCGCCGGAGCUGGGAUGCCUGCAGUCAAUGUUGCCGCUACACAGUGCGGUUGCAGCGGCAAGAAUGACGUCGUGCCUGAGCAUAACUUCCAGGAGUUGCCGAGCUCUUUCUCAGGGCACAUAGUUAAUUGGGAAUCUGCGGGACCUACCAAUUAUGGCCUACUGCUUCAUUAUCAAAGCUUGGAUUGUCAGUUCCAAGGUGACCUGCCAAGAGAGAGUUGAUAUAAUUAACACAUCUGAAGGCUUUUUUGUUUUGGAUGAUUUUUCGGGAUCCAGCGAGCAGCUGUACUGUGAUUCUUUUAAGCUCAUAAAUUAGUAUCAUGAUGAAUAAUGUUUAGUCUCCCCAUUUUUAUGAAAUUAUGUCACUCAUAAUUACUAAAUGAAAUUCAGACCAUCUGCACCUAUCUCUAUUUAUUAUUAUUAUUAUUAUUACUA